Molecule: ribosomal RNA, 218 nt
Filed under: uncultured bacterium
Lineage: Bacteria
Description: partial 16S ribosomal RNA
Rfam family: Bacterial small subunit ribosomal RNA
Source: RNAcentral
UACGUAGGGUGCGAGCGUUAAUCGGAAUUACUGGGCGUAAAGCGUGCGCAGGCGGUUUUGUAAGCCAGAUGUGAAAUCCCCGGGCUUAACCUGGGAAUGGCAUUUGGGACUGCAAGGCUGGAGUACGGCAGAGGAGACUGGAAUUCCUGGUGUAGCAGUGAAAUCGUAGAGAUCAGGAGGAAUACCGAUGGCGAAGGCAGGUCUCUGGGCUGAUACUG